UCUUAGUAACCAGACGAAAAAAAAAGCAAAAGCGAUUCCCCAAGUAGCGGUGAGCGAAACGGGAACAGCCCAAACCAAUUUAUUAUAAAUUGGGGUUGUGGGUUAAUUAACUCAAUAUUUAGAAAAAAAAGAAAUGAAUUAGUUGAAUGCUAAACCAAAGAUGGUGAAAGUCCAGUAAUUUUUUUAUAAACGUAAAUAUAAAUUAACCCGAGUAGCAUGAAACUCGUGGAAUUUCGUGUGAAACUGCGAGGACCACCUCGUAAGGCUAAAUACUACUGAAUAACCGAUAGCGCAUAGUACCGUGAGGGAAAGGUGAAAAGAACCCCAGUAGGGGAGUGAAAUAGAACAUGAAAUCAUUAGCUUACAAGCAGUAGGAGAUGUUUAAUACAUUGACUGCGUGCCUGUUGAAGAAUGAGCCGGCGACUUAUAGGCGGUGGCAAGGUUAAAGGUAUUACCCUGGAGCCGAAGCGAAAGCAAGUCUUAAUAGGGCUUUAAGUCACCGUUUAUAGACCCGAACCCAAGUGAUCUAACCAUGGUCAGGUUGAAGCUUCGGUAACACGAAGUGGAGGACCGAACCGACCGAUGUUGAAAAAUCGGCGGAUGAACUGUGGUUAGGGGUGAAAUACCAAUCGAACUUGGAGCUAGCUGGUUCUCUCCGAAAUGCGUUGAGGCGCAGCGAUUAAUAACGGGCUGUCAGGGGUAAAGCACUGUUUCGGUGCGGGUUGCGAGAGCGAUACCAAAUCGUAGCAAACUAAGAAUACUGUACAAGCUUUCUAUUAAUCAGUGAGACUACGGGGGAUAAGCUCCGUUGUCGAAAGGGAAACAGCCCAGACCAUCAGCUAAGGCCCCUAAAUGAUUACUAAGUGAUAAAGGAGGUAGAGAUGCGUAAACAACCAGAAGGUUUGCCUAGAAGCAGCCAUCCUUGAAAGAGUGCGUAACAGCUCACUGGUCUAGCGUCUCCGCGCCGAAAAUGCACGGGACUAAGUAAUCUGCCGAAGCUAUGGGAUUCUUUAGAUUAAAGAAUCGGUAGGAGAGCGUUCUGUUUUAGGGCGAAGUUAAAACGUGAGUUUUAGUGGACGAAACAGAAGUGAGAAUGUCGGCUUGAGUAACGAAAACACUGGUGAGAAUCCAGUGCCCCGAAAACCUAAGGGUUCCCCCACAAGGCUCGUCCGGGGGGGGUGAGUCAGGACCUAAGAUGAGGCCGAAGGGCGUAAUCGAUGGAAAGCAGGUCAAUAUUCCUGCACUACAUAAAAAUUGGCACCAGGGGACAGAGUAAAAUCAAAGAUUAGACAAUAGGGUUGUUCUAAUUAAGUUAAGUUAAAUUGGUGGACGAAAAAAUACCAGUAAUUUAAAUAACUUUUAAAUUUUGACUAUAUUCUCUAGAAAAGCCUGUACUGCUUUGGCGAAAGCGCCAGAAAUCUUUAUGUACCUGUACCCAGAACCGACACAGGUGGGUAAGUAGAGAAUACUAAGGGGUGCGAGAUAACUCUCUCUAAGGAACUCGGCAAAAUGGCCCCGUAACUUCGGGAGAAGGGGUACCUACGAAAGUAGGUCGCAGUGACCAGGCCCAAGCGACUGUUUAUCAAAAACACAGGUCUCCGCAAAGUCGUAAGACAACGUAUGGGGGCUGACGCCUGCCCAGUGCCGGAAGGUUAAAGAAGUUGGUUAACUUAGGUGAAGCUAACGACUGAAGCCCCGGUGAACGGCGGCCGUAACUAUAACGGUCCUAAGGUAGCGAAAUUCCUUGUCGGGUAAGUUCCGACCCGCACGAAAGGCGUAACGAUUUGGGCGCUGUCUCGGAGAGAGGCUCGGCGAAAUAGAAUUGUCUGUGAAGAUGCGGACUACGUACACCCGGACAGAAAGACCCUAUGAAGCUUUACUGUAGGUUGAUAUUGGUCUCGGGCUCUGAAUGCGCAGGAUAGGUGGGAGACUAUGAAGUAGUGCUCGUGGGUGCUACUGAGUCAAUGGUGAGAUACCACUCUUUUAGAGCUAGGGUUCUAACGCUUACCCGUUAUCCGGGAAGCGGACAGUAUCUGCUGGGCAGUUUGACUGGGGCGGUCGCCUCCUAAAAGGUAACGGAGGCGUACAAAGGUUCCCUCAGGCUGGUUGGAAAUCAGUCGCUGAGUGCAAAAGCAGAAGGGAGCUUGACUGUGAGACCUACAAGUCGAACAGGGACGAAAGUCGGUUUUAGUGAUCCGACGGUUCUGAGUGGAAGGGCCGUCG
This 2223-nucleotide ribosomal RNA is filed under the name marine metagenome. RNAcentral describes it as "bacterial LSU rRNA". It matches the Rfam family "Bacterial large subunit ribosomal RNA", at positions 201 to 2447 of the family's 2925-position model. The record is from RNAcentral.